Long non-coding RNA from Elaeis guineensis (African oil palm), 587 nucleotides. RefSeq lists it as uncharacterized. The record is from RefSeq and is a predicted model, not a curated record. Lineage: Eukaryota; Viridiplantae; Streptophyta; Magnoliopsida; Arecales; Arecaceae.
UUUUCAGAAAGAAUUUCAGACCUCCCCGAGAAACAGCAAGGACACGACAUGUUAUUCAUAGAUUGUUACCUUAACAAAGUGUUCAUUUGUAAAAUAUCCGAUAUUUUUUUCCCAAUUAACAAAGCAUUGUUGCGGAAGGGUGGUUUGCCGAUUAAGUUUAUUAUCCUCAAUUUUUGUUUGAUGCUUUCCUUUAUAAUCUGAUAUAUCUCUUUCAAUGUUUUUAUUUUAUUGCAGACUUCGGAGUUCACUUUGGCUUCAAUUUAAGCCCCAUCAUAUUGCUGCUGGGGCUGCAUUCCUUGCUGCCAAGUUCCUAAAUUAUGAUCUUGCCUUUCAUCAGAGUUUCUGGCAGGAAUUCCAGACAACACCAUCCAUUCUUCAAGAUGUUUCACAGCAGUUGAUGGAACUCGUCUAAAAUGACACAUCAGUAUGCUUACAUGUUGUACUAAAGGUUUGUUGUACACCAUGUAUAUAUUGGAUAAAGUAAUUAAAUACAAGGAUAUCAAUGUUUUAUUGCAUGAAUGAGUCAGCUAAAUGUCUUCGUAAUGCUUGCUAUAUUUUUUAAUUAUUGGCAGCAUUUCUAUUCUUAA